RNAcentral lists this ribosomal RNA (505 nucleotides) under uncultured bacterium. Its description in RNAcentral is "partial 16S ribosomal RNA". It matches the Rfam family "Bacterial small subunit ribosomal RNA", at positions 355 to 852 of the family's 1533-position model. The record is from RNAcentral.
UGGGGAAUUUUGGACAAUGGGCGAAAGCCUGAUCCCAGCAAUGCCGCGUGUGUGAAGAAGGCCUUCGGGUUGUAAAGCACUUUUGUCCGGAAAGAAAUCCUUGGCUCUAAUACAGUCGGGGGAUGACGGUACCGGAAGAAUAAGCACCGGCUAACUACGUGCCAGCAGCCGCGGUAAUACGUAGGGUGCAAGCGUUAAUCGGAAUUACUGGGCGUAAAGCGUGCGCAGGCGGUUUGCUAAGACCGAUGUGAAAUCCCCGGGCUCAACCUGGGAACUGCAUUGGUGACUGGCAGGCUAGAGUAUGGCAGAGGGGGGUAGAAUUCCACGUGUAGCAGUGAAAUGCGUAGAGAUGUGGAGGAAUACCGAUGGCGAAGGCAGCCCCUGGGCCAAUACUGACGCUCAUGCACGAAAGCGUGGGGAGCAAACAGGAUUAGAUACCCUGGUAGUCCAGCGCCCUAAACGAUGUCAACUAGUUGUUGGGGAUUCAUUUCCUUAGUAACGUAGC